AAUCACAGAAUAAGGAUAAAAAGGUUUCACCCUUCUUUUGUUUUAAGUUCUAAAUUGUUUACCUAUAAUUAGAUGGGCUCAAAGUGAGUAAAAGUAGGAAGAUUGUUAUCUGGAUUGUUACCAUCAUAAUCUAAUAUAGUGAUGCUAUUCAUUUUUCCAUUUCAUGGAAGGACCUGUUUGGCACUUGAAAAACACAGUUGUCUCGGUUCUAUGUUUAGACAUAAUUAUUUCUUGUACAACUUGUGUAAUUGAAGGCGCAGCAAUCUGCAUCCCAUUCCCCAACAUUAGGAAAUGAAUGUUUACCCAACACAUCUGAAUAUGUUAUGUGCUGCUACUUCCUAGUUUUAGAUAAAAAUUGCUCUAGUUCUAAGCAAAUGCAUAUUAUAAUAUUAAUGAUGUAUGUUUCAUAAAAGCUCACUGUUAGGAUAUACUACAUGCCAGGUAAUGCAAGUAUACGGUAAAACAAUAAUCUUUUUCUUGUUCUGUUCACCAAAGUGAUAUGCAGUUGGGACAUAUUUCUAUCGUAGCUUCAGUUGAGACUUUAGACUUAAAGUAGAUUUCAUUUGUAGCAUUUAUUGAAUUGUUUUGGAAAAAGAAAUAUGCUUUCUUCAAUUUCUUGUCUUGGAGGAAAAAUAUACUUCUGAAUACCAGUAGAGGGUGAAAUAACAAGGUGGUGCAUGCAUGGAUGUGUAAGUAGCAGUUUAGAUGACACUUAUUUUCUGAUAUUUUGUAAUGAAGUCUCAGAUGUGUACCAACUACAGCUAAUAGUUUUUGUACUUGAUCCUACUCGUGGUCAAUUUAUUAUCCUAGUACAGUUUUAGAUAGUGUUAACCUCACAGCUGCGUCAAAGGGUUUUAAGGAGCGCCUUAUAUUAUGGGUAGCAUCCUUUAACUACAUUUUCUCUUGCCACGUGAGGUAGGUGCCAAAAUUUAAUCCUUCCUGUCGUCUUGUCCCACCAUUAAUUGCAUUUAAAGUUAAUUCUAGAUUUCUUUGAUUUAGUCAUAUGUGAGCAUAUAUGGUGGUAGUGCAACUGUUACAAAUUUGUUGAAAUACUGCAACUUUUGCAACUUCUGUUUCUGUUUGUUGCAGGGUCGUCGGCAAAGGAGAUGGU
RNAcentral lists this unclassified non-coding RNA (1111 nucleotides) under Hevea brasiliensis (rubber tree). The record is from RNAcentral. Lineage: Eukaryota; Viridiplantae; Streptophyta; Magnoliopsida; Malpighiales; Euphorbiaceae.